Molecule: long non-coding RNA, 1529 nt
Organism: Cyanistes caeruleus (blue tit)
Lineage: Eukaryota; Metazoa; Chordata; Aves; Passeriformes; Paridae
Source: RefSeq, a predicted model, not a curated record
CCGGCCGGCUGCGCGGGAAAAGCGCUCGCUGGGACUGGGACCUGCCCGAGCCGCAAAGGGACGUGGCGGGGGAAAUGUCCGCCCCCGGGCUCAGCUUAGGGAUGGGCGCCUUAACGGCUAAGAGCGGAGGUUUGUGCUGGGGUCCUCCCGGGAGAUUCCACCGCCUUCUCCCGUCUUCCCGCGGCGUUUCACAGAAUGGCUCAGGUUGAAAGGGAUCACAGUGAGUCAUCUGGGCUAACCUUCCCGCUCAAGCGGUGUCGUCCCAGAGCACAUGGCACAGGAUUGCAUCCAGACAGUUCCUGAAUUUCUCAAGUGGAAGUUCCUGUGCAUCGGUUUCUGCCCGUUGCCUCUUGACCUGCUGCUUAGCACCACCGAUUAGAGCCUGGCUCCGUCCUCCUGACAUGCUCUGCCCCUGGGGAUGCAAUUUACCCACGCUGAAACUGCCCCAAGAGACAGCGUGAGGGGGAUGUGCCCGCGACCCUGACGAGGAGAACGCGGCAGGAAAACCGGCACCGGGAGCUCCGCAGUGCUCCCCCAGGCUGCCACUAGCGAUUGGGUUUGUAUAAGCAAGAGGAAAAAGCAUGUGCAGGUUUUUCAUCGCUCAGUGUCGGGAUACGGAAAGGAUGUAGGGGGAAAAAAGCUUCAGCACGGCUUUUACUUCCUCAAAACAUGAGGAAGAGUGAUUCCUAUUACAAAGUCAAAAUAUGUAAAAUUUUUUUUAUUCUACUGAAAGUGAAGUUGAGAAAAAUCUAUGGUUUCACAUUUUAUUUUUAGCAUCAAAUCUCCAUGGGAAGGAUAGAGGUGAGGAGUGCAGAAAAUCACAAGCACCUUCCCUGUGUACAAGUCAAUAAAAAUGUUACUCAGAGGACAGAGCCCUGAUGCACCACAGACCCCUUCUACAGGAAAAACAAAAAACAUUUAUCACAGCACACACCUGAAGAAAGCAUGUGUGGAACUGGAGGAGGCAUGAGUGGAAGCACUGGGGGCUCAAACAAGGGUGAUUCUGAAAGCGUGCAGAAAUGUAAACAGGCAGCAGCUACAGUGGAACAACUGUGAGAAGAAAUGGUACUGGGGAAUUUUGUGGUGCCUCAUCUCUUGCUUCAUACUGGCUUUUUCUGAACUUCAUCAGGGUCUUCCCAGCUCUCCUACAUGACUUAACUCCUCACUUUCUUUGUCCCAUUAUCUACAGGAGAUAACCAUUAUCCAAUACCCAGCACGGUGGAAUUAUUUUCCACAUAUUUCUUCUCAUAAACUACACUCUUACUCUUCUGCCCCACAAUUUUACAUGCAGGGGGAUGACUUGCAGUGAUAGACAAUUCCUAUCCUAGAACAUGCAUGUUAAGUCACCUUGCAAGAACUGCCUCAUUUGGUGUAAAUGACUAGUGUGCUACAGCUGCUGACUAAUUUUAGGAUGAUGGUCUGCUUCUACAAUGGGCAUGUCAAGAUCUACAUCAAUGUAAUUAUCAAAACACAAAAAAUCCUAUUUUAGCCUGCAUUUGUUACUAAUUUUGUCCAGGAGCCAAUUAUCA